AGUGAACGCUGGCGGCAGGCCUAAUACAUGCAAGUCGAACGGCAGCACAGCAGAGCUUGCUCUGUGGGUGGCGAGUGGCGGACGGGUGAGGAAUACAUGGGAAUCUGCCCAGUCGUGGGGGAUAACGUAUGGAAACGUACGCUAAUACCGCAUGCGCCCUACGGGGGAAAGUCGGGGACCGCAAGGCCUGACGCGAUUGGAUGAGCCCAUGUUCGAUUAGCUAGUUGGCGGGGUAAAGGCCCACCAAGGCGACGAUCGAUAGCUGGCCUGAGAGGAUGAUCAGCCACACUGGAACUGAGACACGGUCCAGACUCCUACGGGAGGCAGCAGUAGGGAAUAUUGGACAAUGGGGGCAACCCUGAUCCAGCCAUGCCGCGUGAGUGAAGAAGGCCCUCGGGUUGUAAAGCUCUUUUGUCCGGAAAGAAAGCAAUCGGUUAAUACCCGGUUGUUCUGACGGUACCGGAAGAAUAAGCACCGGCUAACUUCGUGCC
Molecule: ribosomal RNA, 491 nt
Filed under: uncultured bacterium
Lineage: Bacteria
Description: bacterial SSU rRNA
Rfam family: Bacterial small subunit ribosomal RNA
Source: RNAcentral